AAACACGACCGCUCUUACCCCGAAGUAGCUCUAAAGAAUCAGGGUUCUUUUUUUGGGGCAUAAUACUACUUCCCGUAGAAUACGCAUCGGAGAGUGUGACGAAUCCAAAUUCCGAGCUCGAAUAUAUGAUAAGAUCUUCAGCAAAGCGAGAAAUGUGAAGCAUUACCAUGCCUGCCCAAAACAUAAAUUCGAUGACAAAAUCACGAUCACCAACAGCAUUCAUGGAAUUCAUGAUAAUGCCUUCGAAUCCAAGCUCUUUACGAAGGAACUCGCGAUCGACGUUGAAAGGGUUGCCAGCUAAAGCACCAGCACCCAGCGGUAAUUGACUUACACGAGUAUACAGCUGACGAAGUCUGCCAAGGUCACCUAAUAAAGGCAAGGCGUGAGACAUGAGAAAAUGGGACCAACGAACAGGCUGAGCCCUUUGUAAAUGCGUAUAACCUGACAUUAUUACAUCAAUCUCCAUCUCAGCUCUGUUGGUAAAAACUUUAAGCAAGUUAAUGACAUAGACUUCAACCUCUUUGAUUUUUCUGCAUAGCCAUAAACGCAAAUCGGUGGUAACUUGGUCAUUACGACUUCUGCCAGUAUGUAGCUUGCCAGCAACAUCACCGAUUAUCUCAGUUAAUCGGCGCUCGUUUGCUGUGUGAACAUCUUCGUCGGAUGGUUCCAAAACGAAUUGACCCGAAUUCCAUUCUCUUUGAAUUUGUUCCAAUCCUUUUAGGAUGCUAUUCAGCUCUUCUUCAGAUAUCACAUUUUUCUGGCACAAGGCUUUUGCGUACGCCAUGGAACCAAUAACAUCUUCUUCGCACAUUUCCUUUCCACUAUAGAUGGAUUUGUUGAAUUCUGCCAUCAGUGGAUCAGUAGCUCCUGAAAAUCUACCUCCCCAUAG
Non-coding RNA from Schizosaccharomyces pombe (fission yeast), 889 nucleotides. Lineage: Eukaryota; Fungi; Ascomycota; Schizosaccharomycetes; Schizosaccharomycetales; Schizosaccharomycetaceae. The record is from the annotation of a GenBank genome assembly.